GUGCCAGCAGCCGCGGUAAUACGUAGAGUGCAAGCGUUGUCCGGAAUUAUUGGGCGUAAAGGGUACGCAGGCGGAUAAUCAAGUCAAGCGUGAAAGGUGUCGGCUUAACCGACAGACUGCGUUUGAAACUGGUUAUCUUGAGUGUAACAGAGGAGAGUGGAAUUCCUGGUGUAGUGGUGAAAUACGUAGAUAUCAGGAAGAACACCAGUGGCGAAGGCGACUCUCUGGGUUAACACUGACGCUGAGGUACGAAAGCUGGGGGAGCGAACGGGAUUAGAAACCCUAGUAGUCC
Molecule: ribosomal RNA, 292 nt
Filed under: uncultured bacterium
Lineage: Bacteria
Description: partial 16S ribosomal RNA
Rfam family: Bacterial small subunit ribosomal RNA
Source: RNAcentral